GACGAACGCUGGCGGCGUGCCUAAUACAUGCAAGUUGAGCGCUGAAGGUUGGUACUUGUACCAACUGGAUGAGCAGCGAACGGGUGAGUAACGCGUGGGGAAUCUGCCUUUGAGCGGGGGACAACAUUUGGAAACGAAUGCUAAUACCGCAUAAAAACUUUAAACACAAGUUUUAAGUUUGAAAGAUGCAAUUGCAUCACUCAAAGACGAUCCCGCGUUGUAUUAGCUAGUUGGUGAGGUAAAGGCUCACCAAGGCGAUGAUACAUAGCCGACCUGAGAGGGUGAUCGGCCACAUUGGGACUGAGACACGGCCCAAACUCCUACGGGAGGCAGCAGUAGGGAAUCUUCGGCAAUGGACGAAAGUCUGACCGAGCAACGCCGCGUGAGUGAAGAAGGUUUUCGGAUCGGAAAACUCUGUUGGUAGAGAAGAACGUUGGUGGGAGUGGAAAGCUCAUCAAGUGACGGUAACUACCCAGAAAGGGACGGCUAACUACGUG
RNAcentral lists this ribosomal RNA (497 nucleotides) under uncultured bacterium. RNAcentral describes it as "partial 16S ribosomal RNA". It matches the Rfam family "Bacterial small subunit ribosomal RNA", at positions 28 to 507 of the family's 1533-position model. The record is from RNAcentral.